RNAcentral lists this ribosomal RNA (503 nucleotides) under uncultured bacterium. RNAcentral describes it as "partial 16S ribosomal RNA". It matches the Rfam family "Bacterial small subunit ribosomal RNA", at positions 30 to 523 of the family's 1533-position model. The record is from RNAcentral.
AUUGAACGCUGGCGGCAGGCUUAACACAUGCAAGUCGAGCGGGGUGAUGGUGCUUGCACUAUCACUUAGCGGCGGACGGGUGAGUAAUGCUUAGGAAUCUGCCUAUUAGUGGGGGACAACAUCUCGAAAGGGAUGCUAAUACCGCAUACGUCCUACGGGAGAAAGCAGGGGAUCACUUGUGACCUUGCGCUAAUAGAUGAGCCUAAGUCGGAUUAGCUAGUUGGUGGGGUAAAGGCCUACCAAGGCGACGAUCUGUAGCGGGUCUGAGAGGAUGAGCCGCCACACUGGGACUGAGAACCGGGCCAGACUCCUACGGGAGGCAGAGGUGGGGAAUAUUGGACAAUGGGGGGAACCCUGAUCCAGCCAUGCCGCGUGUGUGAAGAAGGCCUUAUGGUUGUAAAGCACUUUAAGCGAGGAGGAGGCUCUUUUGGUUAAUACCCAAGAUGAGUGGACGUUACUCGCAGAAUAAGCACCGGCUAACUCUGUGCCAGCCGCCGCGGUAA